RNAcentral lists this ribosomal RNA (448 nucleotides) under uncultured bacterium. RNAcentral describes it as "bacterial SSU rRNA". It matches the Rfam family "Bacterial small subunit ribosomal RNA", at positions 329 to 794 of the family's 1533-position model. The record is from RNAcentral.
GACCAGACUCCUACGGGAGGCAGCAGUGGGGAAUAUUGCACAAUGGGGGAAACCCUGAUGCAGCGACGCCGCGUGAGUGAAGAAGUAUUUCGGUAUGUAAAGCUCUAUCAGCAGGGAAGAAAAUGACGGUACCUGACUAAGAAGCCCCGGCUAACUACGUGCCAGCAGCCGCGGUAAUACGUAGGGGGCAAGCGUUAUCCGGAUUUACUGGGUGUAAAGGGAGCGUAGACGGCAUGGCAAGUCAGAUGUGAAAGCCCGGGGCUCAACCCCGGGACUGCAUUUGAAACUGUCAGGCUGGAGUGCAGGAGAGGUAAGUGGAAUUCCUAGUGUAGCGGUGAAAUGCGUAGAUAUUAGGAGGAACACCGGUGGCGAAGGCGGCUUACUGGACUGUAACUGACGUUGAGGCUCGAAAGCGUGGGGAGCAAACAGGAUUAGAUACCCCUGUAGA